GACGAACGCUGGCGGCGUGCUUAACGCAUGCAAGUCGAGCGGUAAGGCCUUUCGGGGUACACGAGCGGCGAACGGGUGAGUAACACGUGGGUGAUCUGCCCUGCACUUCGGGAUAAGCCUGGGAAACUGGGUCUAAUACCGGAUAUGACCUCCUAUCGCAUGGUGGGUGGUGGAAAGAUUUAUCGGUGCAGGAUGGGCCCGCGGUCUAUCAGCUUGUUGGUGGGGUAAUGGCCUACCAAGGCGACGACGGGUAGCCGACCUGAGAGGGUGACCGGCCACACUGGGACUGAGACACGGCCCAGACUCCUACGGGAGGCAGCAGUGGGGAAUAUUGCACAAUGGGCGAAAGCCUGAUGCAGCGACGCCGCGUGAGGGAUGACGGCCUUCGGGUUGUAAACCUCUUUCAGCAGGGACGAAGCGCAAGUGACGGUACCUGCAGAAGAAGCACCGGCUAACUACGUG
RNAcentral lists this ribosomal RNA (462 nucleotides) under uncultured bacterium. RNAcentral describes it as "partial 16S ribosomal RNA". It matches the Rfam family "Bacterial small subunit ribosomal RNA", at positions 28 to 507 of the family's 1533-position model. The record is from RNAcentral.